GAUGAACGCUAGCUACAGGCUUAACACAUGCAAGUCGAGGGGUAACGAGAGGAAAGCUUGCUUUCCUUGUCGACGACCGGCGCACGGGUGAGUAACGCGUAUCCAACCUGCCCCCAACUAGGGAAUAACCUUGCGAAAGUAGACUAAUUCCCUAUAAUUUCCUCAGAUGAACUCUUACGAGGGAUAAAGAUUUAUCGGUUGUGGAUUGGGAUGCGUCUGAUUAGCUUGUUGGCGGGGUAACGGCCCACCAAGGCAACGAUCAGUAGGGGUUCUGAGAGGAAGGUGCCCCACAUUGGAGCUGAGACACGGUCCAAACUCCUACGGGAGGCAGCAGUGAGGAAUACUGGUCAAUGGGCGGAAGCCUGAACCAGCCAAGUAGCGUGCAGGAUGACGGCCCUAUGGGUUGUAAACUGCUUUUAUACAGGAAUAAAGUUAGCCACGUGUGGUUAUUUGUAGGUACUGUAUGAAUAAGGACCGGCUAAUUCCGUGCCAGCCGCCGCCGUAA
RNAcentral lists this ribosomal RNA (505 nucleotides) under uncultured bacterium. RNAcentral's name for it is "partial 16S ribosomal RNA". It matches the Rfam family "Bacterial small subunit ribosomal RNA", at positions 28 to 523 of the family's 1533-position model. The record is from RNAcentral.